RNAcentral lists this ribosomal RNA (1122 nucleotides) under uncultured soil eukaryote. Its description in RNAcentral is "partial small subunit ribosomal RNA". It matches the Rfam family "Eukaryotic small subunit ribosomal RNA", at positions 862 to 1806 of the family's 1831-position model. The record is from RNAcentral.
GUAAUGAUAAAUAGGGACAGUCGGGGUUACUUGUAUUUGAUCGCUAGGGGUGAAAUCCUAUGAUUGAUCAAAGACAAACUACUGCGAAAGCAUUUAACAAGGAUGUUUUCAUUAAUCAAGAACGAAAGUUGGGGGAUCGAAGAUGAUCAGAUACCGUCGUAGUCUCAACUAUAAACAAUGUCGACUCUGGAUAAAAGAAUAUUAACAUGGAUGAUUUUUUUUGAACAGAUUUUUAGAGAAAUCACAAGUAUUCAGACUCCGGGGGGAGUAUGGUCGCAAGAGUGAAACUUAAAGGAAUUGACGGAAGGGCACCACCAGGAGUGGAAUCUGCGGCUUAAUUUGACCCAACACGGGAAAACUUACCGGGUCCGGACACAAUGAGGAUUGACAGAUUGAUAGCUCUUUCUUGAUUUUGUGGUUGGUGGUGCAUGGCCGUUUUUAGUUGGUGGAUUGAUUUGUCUGGUUAAUUCCGAAAACGAACGAGAUCUUAACCUAUUAAAUAGUUGUAUUAAAAUUGAAUAUAUUUCAAAUAUAUUCAGUUUAUUUGGUAAAAUUUUUCUUUUUUCCCUUUCUUUUUGGUCUAGGGAAAUUUUAUUCUGGCAACAGGGUAAGGUUUUUCUAGAUUUUAUAAAGUUGGGGGAAAAAGAGAAGAAAUUAACUUCUUAAAGGGACUAUUCAUAUUUUAAUGAAUGGAAGUUUAAGGCAAAAACAGGUCUGUGAUGCCCUUCGAUGUUCCGGGCUGCACGCGCAUUACACUGAUAUGUUCAAUAAGUUUACUUUUGUCGAAAGUGGGGGGGUGGGAGCAAUCUCAUUCUUUCAUUUUUUUUUUUCCUGGUUUGAAAAGAUUGGGUAAUCUUCAAAAAAUCAUAUCGUGAUUGGGAUAGUGUUUUGUAAUUAUCGCACUUGAACGAGGAAUUCCUAGUAGGUGCAAGUCAUUAACUUGCUCCGAUUACGUCCCCGCCCUUUGUACACACCGCCCGUCGCUCCUACCGAUUGAAUAAUCCGAUGAGAAUUCAGGAUAGAAUGUCUUUUUCAAUUGUCUGAAAGGACAAUUAGGGAUAUUUUAGAAUUUAUUCAAAUCUUAUUAUUUAGAGGAAGGAGAAGUCGUAACAAGGUUUCCGU